Molecule: long non-coding RNA, 659 nt
Filed under: Eurytemora carolleeae
Lineage: Eukaryota; Metazoa; Arthropoda; Copepoda; Calanoida; Temoridae
Description: uncharacterized LOC111695137
Source: RNAcentral
CGUUAAAAUACUUUUGUUAAAACAAAUUCGAAAUAUAAGGAAGACGAUUGUUCCGACUCAAAUGCCGAUGUCAAUUCCCUGGAUGUGUGUGUACACUGAAUACACAGAAUCCUUUUCCGCCAUACAACACACCCCACAUGUCAAAUCUCCGCUCAACCUAGCUCCCGCUUCACCAGUCAGUCAGCGGAAAACACUCACGAGAUUCACAACUCCGUCUCAACCCUGGCUCCUUUGUGAUGAUGAUUCAGAUACGGAACCAACAACAGAAGACACUGCUUACACCUAGCUCCGCGCUCCACAAAGUUCCAGAGAUCCGGGCGGAACCAGACUUCCUUCCAUUAUCCUGUAUACAGGAUAAGUCCGCAAUCUCUCCCUCCCACAGGAGAAGGUAACAAUAGUUCGCUCCGCAGGAGAAGGUAACAAUAGUUCGCUCCGCAGGAGAAGGUAACAAUAGUUCGCUCCGCAAUGUUCCAGAGAUCCGGGCGGAACCAGACUUCCUUCCAUUAUCCUGUAUACAGGAUAAGUCCGCAAUCUCUCCCUCCCACAGGAGAAGGUAACAAUAGUUCGCUCCGCAAUGUUCCAGAGAUCCGGGCGGAACCAGACUUCCUUCCAUUAUCCUGUAUACAGGAUAAGUCCGCAAUCUCUCUCCCUUAGACUAA